AGAGUUUGAUCCUGGCUCAGAGUUAACGCUGGCAGCGUGCAUAACACAUGCAAGUCGAGCGGGACUAUUUGAGAUUAUAUCAAUGAUAGUUUAGCGGCAAACGAGUGAGUAACACGUAAGAAAUCUGCCCCGAAGUGGAGAACAACCUGCCGAAAGGUGGGCUAAUACUCCAUAUUAUCCUCUGGUGGCAUCACCUAGGG
This 200-nucleotide ribosomal RNA is filed under the name uncultured bacterium. RNAcentral describes it as "partial 16S ribosomal RNA". It matches the Rfam family "Bacterial small subunit ribosomal RNA", at positions 8 to 200 of the family's 1533-position model. The record is from RNAcentral.